RNAcentral lists this ribosomal RNA (394 nucleotides) under uncultured bacterium. RNAcentral describes it as "partial 16S ribosomal RNA". It matches the Rfam family "Bacterial small subunit ribosomal RNA", at positions 338 to 729 of the family's 1533-position model. The record is from RNAcentral.
CCUACGGGAGGCAGCAGUGAGGAAUAUUGGUCAAUGGACGGAAGUCUGAACCAGCGAUGCCGCGUGCAGGAAGACGGCUCUCUGAGUUGUAAACUGUUUUUGUACGAGGGUAAACAUGAAUACGUGUAUUCAGCUGAAACUGCCGUACGAAUAAGGAUCGGCUAACUUCGUGCCAGCAGCGGAGGUAAUAUGGAGGAUCCAUGCGUUAUCCGGAUUUAUUGGGGUUAAAGGGUGCGUAGGCGGAUUGAUAAGUUAGAGGUGAAAGGUCCGCGCUUAACCCGGGAACUGCCUUGAAUACUGUUGAACUAGAGAGCAGGUGAGGUAGGCGGAAUGCAUGGUGUAGCGGUGAAAUGCGUAGAGAUCAGGAAGAACACCGAUUGCGAAGGCAGCUUAC